GUGUCAGCAGCCGCGGUAAUACGUAGGGGGCAAGCGUUGUCCGGAAUCAUUGGGCGUAAAGCGCGUGUAGGCGGCCAGAAAAGUCCGCUGUGAAAACUCGAGGCUCAACUUCGAGCUGUCGGUGGAAACUUUCUGGCUAGAGUCCGGAAGAGGAGAAUGGAAUUCCUGGUGUAGCGGUGAAAUGCGCAGAUAUCAGGAAGAACACCCGUGGCGAAGGCGGUUCUCUGGGACGGUACUGACGCUGAGACGCGAAAGCGUGGGGAGCGAACAGGAUUAGAUACCCUGGUAGUCC
This 292-nucleotide ribosomal RNA is filed under the name uncultured bacterium. Its description in RNAcentral is "partial 16S ribosomal RNA". It matches the Rfam family "Bacterial small subunit ribosomal RNA", at positions 505 to 796 of the family's 1533-position model. The record is from RNAcentral.